UGAUGUGAAAGCCCCCGGCUCAACCGGGGAGGGUCAUUGGAAACUGGGGAACUUGAGUGCAGAAGAGGAGAGUGGAAUUCCAUGUGUAGCGGUGAAAUGCGUAGAUAUAUGGAGGAACACCAGUGGCGAAGGCGACUCUCUGGUCUGUAACUGACGCUGAGGCUCGAAAGCGUGGGUAGCAAACAGGAUUAGAUACCCUGGUAGUCCACGCCGUAAACGAUGAGUGCUAAGUGUUGGAGGGUUUCCGCCCUUCAGUGCUGCAGUUAACGCAUUAAGCACUCCGCCUGGGGAGUACGACCGCAAGGUUGAAACUCAAAGGAAUUGACGGGGACCCGCACAAGCGGUGGAGCGUGUGGUUUAAUUCGAAGCAACGCGAAGAACCUUACCAAGUCUUGACAUCCUUUGACCACUCUAGAGAUAGAGCUUUCCCUUCGGGGACAAAGUGACAGGUGGUGCAUGGUUGUCGUCAGCUCGUGUCGUGAGAUGUUGGGUUAAGUCCCGCAACGAGCGCAACCCUUAUUACUAGUUGCCAGCAUUCGGUUGGGCACUCUAGUGAGACUGCCGGUGACAAACCGGAGGAAGGUGGGGAUGACGUCAAAUCAUCAUGCCCCUUAUGACUUGGGCUACACACGUGCUACAAUGGAUGGUACAACGAGCAGCGAACUCGCGAGGGUAAGCGAAUCUCUUAAAGCCAUUCUCAGUUCGGAUUGUAGGCUGCAACUCGCCUACAUGAAGCCGGAAUCGCUAGUAAUCGCGGAUCAGCACGCCGCGGUGAAUACGUUCCCGGGUCUUGUACACACCGCCCGUCACACCACGAGAGUUUGUAACACCCAAAGUCGGUGAGGUAACCAUUUGGAGCCAGCCGCCUAAGGUGGGAUAGAUGAUUGGGGUGAAGUCGUAACAAGGUAGCCGUAUCGGAAGG
This 922-nucleotide ribosomal RNA is filed under the name uncultured Granulicatella sp. Its description in RNAcentral is "bacterial SSU rRNA". It matches the Rfam family "Bacterial small subunit ribosomal RNA", at positions 590 to 1512 of the family's 1533-position model. Lineage: Bacteria; Bacillati; Bacillota; Bacilli; Lactobacillales; Carnobacteriaceae. The record is from RNAcentral.